AAUAAUUACAGUUUUGUACUAUUUACGUUCAAUGUUUGACCGUUUAUUUUAUUUAUUUUUUUUAUUAAUAUUUUUAUUGCUAUUAGAUAAUAAAACAUGAAUAAUAAUUUAUGUGUGACUAAAUAUUUUUAUUUUUUUAUAAAAUUUUUAAAUAUGACGGACGUUCAAACGUUGAGCACGGAUAUCCACGGCUGCACUUAUU
Molecule: microRNA precursor, 202 nt
Organism: Oryza rufipogon (brownbeard rice)
Lineage: Eukaryota; Viridiplantae; Streptophyta; Magnoliopsida; Poales; Poaceae
Rfam family: MIR812 microRNA precursor family
Source: Rfam